Molecule: ribosomal RNA, 206 nt
Filed under: uncultured bacterium
Lineage: Bacteria
Description: partial 16S ribosomal RNA
Rfam family: Bacterial small subunit ribosomal RNA
Source: RNAcentral
CACGCAGGCGGUCUGUCAAGUCAGAUGUGAAAUCCCCGGGCUUAACCUGGGAACUGCAUUUGAAACUGGCAGGCUAGAGUCUUGUAGAGGGGGGUAGAAUUCCAGGUGUAGCGGUGAAAUGCGUAGAUAUAGGAAGGAACACCAGUGGCGAAGGCGGCUUUCUGGACUGACACUGACGCUGAGGCACGAAAGCGUGGGAGCAAACA